RNAcentral lists this ribosomal RNA (478 nucleotides) under uncultured bacterium. RNAcentral's name for it is "partial 16S ribosomal RNA". It matches the Rfam family "Bacterial small subunit ribosomal RNA", at positions 28 to 523 of the family's 1533-position model. The record is from RNAcentral.
GACGAACGCUGGCGGCGUGCUUAACACAUGCAAAUCGAACGGUAAGGCCCUUCGGGGUACACGAGUGGCGAACGGGUGAGUAACACGUGGGUGAUCUGCCCUGCACUUCGGGAUAAGCCUGGGAAACUGGGUCUAAUACCGGAUAGGACUCCUGGCUUCAUGGUUGGGGGUGGAAAGCUUUUGUGGUGUGGGAUGGGCCCGCGGCCUAUCAGCUUGUUGGUGGGGUAAUGGCCUACCAAGGCGACGACGGGUAGCCGGCCUGAGAGGGUGACCGGUCACACUGGGACUGAGAUACGGCCCAGACUCCUACGGGAGGCAGCAGUGGGGAAUAUUGCACAAUGGGCGCAAGCCUGAUGCAGCGACGCCGCGUGAGGGAUGACGGCCUUCGGGUUGUAAACCUCUUUCAGCAUCGACGAAGCGAAAGUGACGGUAGGUGCAGAAGAAGGACCGGCCAACUACGUGCCAGCAGCCGCCGCCG